CUGUCCCUCGCAUCUUCUUCCCCCGUGCGCAGCUUCCCCCAGCUUGGACCGCACCCUGGUUCCCGCUCCCUCUUGCUCAGCUCUCCAGCGCGCGCCCUGCUUCCUCCUCGCCGGCCACCAGGAAGCUCUCUCCGCUGCAGCACCGUGCGUGCAGGACGUUCUCCUCUCGACCUCCUCCCGCGCUCGGCUCCUGGAUCGGAUCUCCGGGUCGUGUGCUCCAGUGCCGGCGCGCGCCCGUCUCCUAUGGCGCUCCUCUCUGCUGCCGCACCUAUCUCCCUGCUCGCCCUCUACAUCGUCAUGCCCCUCCUUGCUCCUCCCAGGUCCGACUGCUGUCCUCCCUAUUCCACCUCUUCAAGCUCGCCUCCACCUCGGUUCUGGUGCAUGCUCGGCCACCACGAUGUCCCAGCGCCGGUGAAGGUCCGUCCUGCAGCAGCACCGUGGUGGCCUUCGACUUGGAGCACUGCGACGACUCCAUGCCGUGCCCAUCUGCUUCCUCCAUGCCCGAGUCCAAGAUCCUCCUCCGGCUGGUUCAUCACGGACACGGGCACAAAGCCUGUACGCUUGGAGUGCUGA
This 573-nucleotide unclassified non-coding RNA is filed under the name Zea mays. RNAcentral describes it as "misc RNA Zm00001eb383970". The record is from RNAcentral. Lineage: Eukaryota; Viridiplantae; Streptophyta; Magnoliopsida; Poales; Poaceae.